AGUCUUUGCCAGUGGGAAGUGUGGUGCUUCAAGUCAAAGCCACUGAUGCAGAUGCGACUCCAGAAUUCAAUACUAUAUACUACAACAUACACCCACCCUCAGAUACAUUUGACGUGACAACUGACGGUUCAGUGAUAUUGACUAAACAACUGAACUAUGCUGUGACUACUUCAUACCGUUUCAGCGUGACAGCCAUGGAUAUUGGACAUCUCUUUGAUGCUACAACUGUCAUUAUCAGUGUAACCGGUGAAAUAGAGGACAAUGAAGUUGUGCAAAUAUACAUCAACAAGCACCCUAACCAAGUACUGAAACAGGUUCAUGACAC
This is a long non-coding RNA of Engraulis encrasicolus (European anchovy), 325 nucleotides long. RefSeq lists it as uncharacterized. The transcript is spliced from 3 exons. NCBI's taxonomy places the organism in Eukaryota, Metazoa, Chordata, Actinopteri, Clupeiformes, Engraulidae. The record is from RefSeq and is a predicted model, not a curated record.